RNAcentral lists this ribosomal RNA (509 nucleotides) under uncultured bacterium. Its description in RNAcentral is "bacterial SSU rRNA". It matches the Rfam family "Bacterial small subunit ribosomal RNA", at positions 28 to 526 of the family's 1533-position model. The record is from RNAcentral.
GAUGAACGCUAGCUACAGGCUUAACACAUGCAAGUCGAGGGGCAUCGCGGGAGUUGCUUGCAACUUCUGGCGGCGACCGGCGCACGGGUGAGUAACGCGUAUCCAACCUGCCCUUUACUACGGUAUAGCCCAGCGAAAGUUGGAUUAAUCCCGUAUGUUGUCGCGCGAUGGCAUCUGAUCGCGACGAAAGGUUCACCGGUAGAGGAUGGGGAUGCGUCCGAUUAGGUAGUCGGCGGGUUGACAGCCCACCGAGCCGACGAUCGGGAGGGGUUCUGGGAGGAAGGUCCCCCACGUUGGAACUGAGACACGGACCAAACUCCGACGGGGGGCAGCAGUGAGGAAUAUGGGUCAAUGGGCGCAGGACUGAACCGGACAAGUAGCGUGAGGGAAGACGGCCCUACGGGUUGUAAACCUCUUUUUCACGGGGAUAAAGUGUGCCACGUGUGGCAUAUUGCAGGUACCGUGGGAAUAAGGACCGGCUAAUUCCGUGCCAGCCGCCGCGGUAACAC